UGGAGCUCAAAUAGACAACAAAGCUUUGCGGAACUGGUUAAGUGUUAGCAUAAAAUCUCUUAGCCUUUAUCAUGUUUAUUUUUAUAUUUUCAUUUUUACAGGACAAGAAUAUAUUUAUUUUAUUUUUACGCCACCACAGCGAAUGGGUUUUAUGCCACGAGCAUACUCACAUGGGGUUUACUAUUUUUAACAUUUUUAUUUUCUUUUCAAUAUAGCAUGAUUAACUAACAAGCUAUUUAAGAAAAGUAAAUAAUUUAAGAAAAAAAAGGAAUGCAGAAAGGAUAAAUAUGGAUAACUACCGAUUUUACCUUUCGGUGAGGGUUCAAUGUUUUAAGUCUUCUGAACAAGACUUCUCACCGUGUUCAUUCUUUAGGUGCGUCAUUUGAGUUAGGUGUGGACCUUGACAUCUGCACCUGUUGAUACGGUGUCACCCAUGUUUUUCGUUUGGCCAGCAGUUCGAAGUGCGGCGUUGGUAGCAUCCUCCUCAGUGUGUUUGUGCUCGUAGAUCCAGAUCUUUCACUUAGUAGAGUCUGGGAGUUGGAAAACUCCUCCAUAUUUUGCUCGAAGUGUAUCCUACUCAUAGAGACAAGGCAGAGAUCAAGUGCAUGGGCC
Molecule: long non-coding RNA, 612 nt
Filed under: Sorghum bicolor (sorghum)
Lineage: Eukaryota; Viridiplantae; Streptophyta; Magnoliopsida; Poales; Poaceae
Description: long non-coding RNA (SBIC_LNC000619)
Source: RNAcentral